Molecule: ribosomal RNA, 119 nt
Filed under: Pteropus alecto (black flying fox)
Lineage: Eukaryota; Metazoa; Chordata; Mammalia; Chiroptera; Pteropodidae
Source: RNAcentral
CUUUACGGCCAUGCCACCCUGAACAAGCCCGAUCCCGUCUGAUUUUGGAAGCUAAGUAGGGUUGGGCCUGGUUAGUACUUGAAUGGGAGACCACCUAGGAAGACCAGAUGCUGUAGGUG